CAGGCGAUAGCUCAGUAGCAGAGCAUCGGACUCUUAAUCCGACGGACGUGGGUGCGAAUCCCACUCGCUUAA
Molecule: transfer RNA, 72 nt
Filed under: Mycobacteriaceae bacterium
Lineage: Bacteria; Bacillati; Actinomycetota; Actinomycetes; Mycobacteriales; Mycobacteriaceae
Rfam family: tRNA
About the family: Transfer RNA (tRNA) molecules are approximately 80 nucleotides in length.
Source: Rfam by way of RNAcentral